CGUGUAGGCGGCUUGGUCAGUCAGAUGUGAAAGCCCUGGGCUCAACCCAGGAAGUGCAUUUGAAACUGCCUCGCUUGAGUAUGGGAGAGGAGAGUGGAAUUCCCAGUGUAGAGGUGAAAUUCGUAGAUAUUGGGAGGAACACCCGUGGCGAAAGCGACUCUCUGGACCAAUACUGACGCUGAGACGCGAAAGCGUGGGGAGCAAACA
This 207-nucleotide ribosomal RNA is filed under the name uncultured bacterium. RNAcentral describes it as "partial 16S ribosomal RNA". It matches the Rfam family "Bacterial small subunit ribosomal RNA", at positions 568 to 774 of the family's 1533-position model. The record is from RNAcentral.